Long non-coding RNA from Carya illinoinensis, 640 nucleotides. RefSeq lists it as uncharacterized. NCBI's taxonomy places the organism in Eukaryota, Viridiplantae, Streptophyta, Magnoliopsida, Fagales, Juglandaceae. The record is from RefSeq and is a predicted model, not a curated record. The transcript is spliced from 3 exons.
AGCUUUCUCUCUACGAUCACCCUUUUCCGCGGGGAUCUAUUUCAUUCUUCCCUCCCAAUCUCAUUCAUUUUGGCUUUAUAGUGCAAACGAAUAGAAGAUCCACACUACAUGGGUGGAGGAUAACUCUGUGGGUUAUGCAAAUUAGGGCUUAGGAAAUCGAUUGAUUUGCGGAAAAGGGCUUCGAUAAUUUUGCCCAUACAGAGUUGGCAUCCACGACUUUGAUCGGCAUCUCCUACAGCCACCACCAACCAACACAGGGAAGUCAUAACACAACUAAUUUUUCUCCCUCUAUGUGUCUCACCACCACAUUAGAGGAACCUCUAGCCACGCCAUCAUGAUUCUCAACUCAACUAGGCUAUUUGCACGGUGCCUUCCCUCUCAGGUUACCAAGUGAUUUCUAUUGAUAUUCAAUGGGGAUGGAAUCAUCACAAGUGGAUUCAAGCAUUUGAGAAGUUCUCGGAUGCUAUCAAUGUUCAUCAUGCUCAACGACCGCAUAAAAAUUUGAAAGAACUAUUGGAUAAAUAUGAAGAAGAACUACCCAUGAAUAAAAGGGUCCUAAAGCUAAUGACAAACAAUGUGAAGAAGAAGAAUUAUCCAUGAAGAAGAAUUUUCAUAUGAUUUGAUUUGUAAUUUUUUUUAU